GGAAGUGAGCGGCUGGCAGCGGGGAGCGGGGGUAGGGAGCGGCGGCGGCGGCGGCGUGAGUCAGUCAGGCGGGCAAGCAGGCGGGCGGGCAGUCUGUCAGACCGUCUGCCCGUCAGUCCAUCCGGCGGCCGCAGCACAACAGCAGGAUUGAAGAACUGGAUUCAGAUCAUUGAUUGUAUGAUUUUGAACUACAAGGGACCUCAAAUGUCCUCUGGCCCAGCCCAC
This 225-nucleotide long non-coding RNA is filed under the name Phascolarctos cinereus (koala). Its description in RNAcentral is "lncRNA (ENSPCIG00000037248.1)". The record is from RNAcentral. Lineage: Eukaryota; Metazoa; Chordata; Mammalia; Diprotodontia; Phascolarctidae.